CUCAGUUCUACUGAAUAGUCUUAACUUUGUAUUUUGCCACAUGCUCUUCUAUUAGAAGGGUAGGUGAAUGGAUGGCCCGCCUGCGCAGAUUUGCCACACGGGGGUCUGGCCUUCUGAUGCAGGAAAGAGACCAGCACCACGCCAGAAGAAAUGGCAUGACUUGUACCAGAAGAAUUGAGAAGUGUCCACUGCAACAAAGGGGGCAAAUGUCUGUGUCCAUCCGCUACGACCACCUACUGUACGCCUCCGUCCUUCCUCUCCCGAUCACCCUCACUGUCUGUCUCUGUCGCUGUAGCCACUGCUCCCCAGCAGUGCAACCUCUCGCUGAGCAACCGGCUGUGGAUGUGCGCAGUGUACCAGCGAGUGGACAACCUGACAGGCUUGGUGGGGCUUUAGGGUGGGCAAGAACAUAU
Sardina pilchardus (European sardine) is the source of this 413-nucleotide long non-coding RNA. RefSeq lists it as uncharacterized. NCBI's taxonomy places the organism in Eukaryota, Metazoa, Chordata, Actinopteri, Clupeiformes, Clupeidae. The transcript is spliced from 3 exons. The record is from RefSeq and is a predicted model, not a curated record.